CAAUAGCGUAUAUUAAAGUUGUUGCAGUUAAAAAGCUCGUAGUUGAAUUUUUGCUUGCCGCCGAUGUCGGAACUUCCGUACGUUCGGCGGCGUGCAUCCUUGGGUGGAACCUGUGUGGCAUUAGGUUGUCGUGCAGGGGAUGUUCAUCGUUUACUGUGAAAAAAUUAGAGUGUUCAAAGCAGGCUUACGCCGUUGAAUAUAUUAGCAUGGAAUAAUAAGAUAGGACCUUGGUACUAUUUUGUUGGUUUGCGCACCGAGGUAAUGAUUAACAGGGACAGUUGGGGGUAUUCGUAUUCCAUUGUCAGAGGUGAAAUUCUUGGAUUUCUGGAAGACGAACUACUGCGAAAGCAUUUACCAAGGAUGUUUNCAUUAA
RNAcentral lists this ribosomal RNA (373 nucleotides) under uncultured eukaryote. RNAcentral's name for it is "partial 18S ribosomal RNA". It matches the Rfam family "Eukaryotic small subunit ribosomal RNA", at positions 592 to 976 of the family's 1831-position model. The record is from RNAcentral.